RNAcentral lists this ribosomal RNA (501 nucleotides) under uncultured bacterium. Its description in RNAcentral is "partial 16S ribosomal RNA". It matches the Rfam family "Bacterial small subunit ribosomal RNA", at positions 30 to 523 of the family's 1533-position model. The record is from RNAcentral.
AUUGAACGCUGGCGGCAGGUUUAACACAUGCAAGUCGAGCGGGGGAAGGUAGCCUGCUACCGGACCUAGCGGCGGACGGGUGAGUAAUGCUUAGGAAUCUGCCUAUUAGUGGGGGACAACAUCUCGAAAGGGAUGCUAAUACCGCAUACGUCCUACGGGAGAAAGCAGGGGAUCUUCGGACCUUGCGCUAAUAGAUGAGCCUAAGUCGGAUUAGCUAGUUGGUGGGGUAAAGGCCUACCAAGGCGACGAUCUGUAGCGGGUCUGAGAGGAUGAUCCGCCACACUGGGACUGAGACACGGCCCAGACUCCUACGGGAGGCAGCAGUGGGGAAUAUUGGACAAUGGGGGGAACCCUGAUCCAGCCAUGCCGCGUGUGUGAAGAAGGCCUUAUGGUUGUAAAGCACUUUAAGCGAGGAGGAGGCUACUCUAGUUAAUACCUAGGGAUAGUGGACGUUACUCGCAGAAUAAGCACCGGCUAACUCUGUGCCAGCCGCCGCCGUAA